UUACACUUUAUAUAAAUUAUAAUAUUACCUGGGUACUAAACAGUUAUUGUCUUGAAACUCAAAGGAUUUGGCGGUAGCUUAGUCUAUUUAGAGGAACCUGUCCUGUAAUCGAUAGUCCACGAAAAAUCUUACUUUAUCUUGUAAAAACAGUUUGUAUACCGUCAUUAUUAGACAACUUUAAUAAAAUCUAAAGUUGUUGAAAGAGUUUGGCUAAUAUAUUAGAUCAAGGUGCAGCUCAUGAUAAAGGAAGAGAUGGGUUACAAUAUAACAAUUAUAGACGGAGUAAUAAGUGAACGUUUGUUACUGAAGGUGGAUUUAAAAGUAAAAAGAUUUUAAUAAGGUCUGUUGACUUUAGCUCUAGG
RNAcentral lists this ribosomal RNA (362 nucleotides) under Penaeus subtilis complex sp. morphotype II. RNAcentral describes it as "partial 12S ribosomal RNA". The record is from RNAcentral. Lineage: Eukaryota; Metazoa; Arthropoda; Malacostraca; Decapoda; Penaeidae.